Molecule: non-coding RNA, 2063 nt
Organism: Castor canadensis (American beaver)
Lineage: Eukaryota; Metazoa; Chordata; Mammalia; Rodentia; Castoridae
Source: RefSeq, a predicted model, not a curated record
GCUUUUGCAUCGACAAUCGACAACUGAGAGACUAUUUUUUGCUAUGGUUGACUAAAUAUGGUCAGGGAAGAGAGAGGCACAAGAGAGCCUGUUUGCCUGGGAGUGCAUGUUUCAAAUGCUUAGCUGCCUAUAAAGCUUUAACAGUUUAGCCUGUGGUCACUGAAGAAGAAAAUAAGUUAGCCUCUGUAGUGACCAUGUAGAAGUCCUGACCUUGCUUGCAGACUUGACCUCUGGAUAUGACAAGGUAGCUACACUACAGAUCUACAAUUUAAUCUGGAAGCUCAAAACCAAAAAAAAAAAUCUCAAAACAAGAAAGAUGCAGAAUAUUUCCUGAGGAGUCAGAAGAACCUAAAGCACUCUGGUGGGCAAAGGAAAACAGGGUGAGGUUCUGUGUUUACUGAUAGACCCCCUUCGUCACCCAGCUCAUAAAAGAAGUGCUGAAUCAGCUGAUGGAGUGAAGAAACACUCAGGAUAGCCAGCUGCUGCCGCUGUGACUCUCCAGACCAUUUCCUCUCUCCCACUGCAAAUACUGCAUGGCACUGAGUUCACAGGAUCUAGAAGCAAACUACUAUAAUAAAGAAGAAAAACUCUUUGAAGACUAUGAAGAAACACUAGGCUGAUUUUAGCAAUUUCUAAAAUAUAAUGCAAAACUCCACUGGCUUAUGAAUCUCUUGCAAAAACACCUAAACCAGGGCAAAGUUUAGGAAGGCUUAUGUCCAUCAAGAACAAGGAAUCAUUAAUGGCAUGAUCAGGUAAAUGUGUUACAAAGUUUAGCCUGUGAUAAAAAUUUCUGCUCUACAUCAAUAAGCUGAAAGUUCUAUUAACAAAGAGGAAAAUAAGAUAUUUUGUGUUUUACAGCUAACAACCUACUCAGAGUACAUACUUCUUUAUGUACCCAUAUGAACAUAUAAUGCUAUGGAAUGUAAAGAAGUAUGUAUUUUUGGUAGGUACUAAGCCACCGAGAGGUAACUAAACUGCAGCUAAAGGAAGCCACUGCUUCUUCCUACGUGGAUGACCUUCGGAUGGUAAAUUAACCUAGUAUCAAGUAUGUGACCUUUGGCAAUACUAACUCACCCAAAAAAAGUAUCCACUACUCAUAAUUAGAAACUAAAUAUUUCUAAGAUUUAUACUUUGUGAAGGAAAAAUUUUAUAGAAAUAGAUUUCAAAUUAUCAUGAAUUCUUUUAAACAUUUAUGUUUUAAACACUACAUUUUACAUUUUUGAGUACUCACAUAAUUAAAAUUUCACUCAAACACAGAAAAUAAUAUUACUAGCACAAAAGAAUGAGACAUAAAUAUGACCCAUUUUCUGUCUCCAUAAUUUGAUCUUAAGUGUAUUACAUUAAUAGGGCCAAAUGAUAUGGUAAGAAAAGUGAUAUACAAUAAAAGCUGAUUUCACUCAUAGUUUAAUAACUAUCCUUUACAUUUGUAUAUUUAUAAUCAGAGGAACUUCUAAACCAAAAGUUUCAUUCUUUUAAGUUUUCUUUUUUUGACAGAAAUAGUCAUAAUUCUAAAAGACUAUCUUUUUAAGUGAAAUCCUACUGUGCACAUUGAAAACAAGUGGCCCCUGAUCUUCUCAAGUCUGUCAUGUCUUUAACACAAUCUCUACUUUAAAUACUAUGUUAGUACUUAAAAUUAAUUAAAACAAUAAGAAUAAACAAUGACAAAUGACAAAAUGCUGGAAUCAACAAUAUUUAAAGGACUGUAUUUAUCUUUGAAUCUGCUUUUUCCAAAGGAAGUAGGGGCAUAUAAAUGAAAACUGCACAUGGUCAAGAACUAAUUUAUACAGAAAGAAUAACCAUUUUAUAAGUACUAUGCAAUUAAAAUUUAGUUUUUAUAGACAUAAUAGAUCUGCUAUAUAUAGCAUGUUACAGAUAUCAAAAUGUUUUUAUUUCAUAUGGUCUAUUUUAUAUAACCUAUUUAUAAGUUAUAAAAUUCUUAGCAACAACUGAUAAAUAGUACCUAAUUUAAGCUACUAUAUUAUAAAGUUUUAAAAAACUGAUACUAGUAUUGAUAUACUCUCAUUUCUUACUAAGAUACUGUUUGAACUACAAUAUUUAUACAC